Molecule: non-coding RNA, 73 nt
Organism: Potamilus streckersoni
Lineage: Eukaryota; Metazoa; Mollusca; Bivalvia; Unionida; Unionidae
Source: the annotation of a GenBank genome assembly
CACUUGGUGGCCUAUUGGUUAGAGCGUCCGCCUCGGAUGCGGGAGGUCGUGGGUUCGAUCCCCGGUCGAGUCA